UCCCAUAUAGUGUAGGGGUUAUCAUACUGCCCUCUCAUGACCAAUGUCAUCAGAAAUCGGCAGAGACCGGGGUUCGAUUCCCUGUGUGGGAG
Cephalotrichum gorgonifer is the source of this 92-nucleotide non-coding RNA. Lineage: Eukaryota; Fungi; Ascomycota; Sordariomycetes; Microascales; Microascaceae. The record is from the annotation of a GenBank genome assembly.